AAUUAACAGUGGCGUGUCUAACGCCAACUAUUAAUUUUAUCUGAAUAGAAUAGUCAUCUGUCUAUUUUUCUGUUUUGCUGAUCCUGUUCAGAGUUGCAGGGAGCUGUCACCUAUACCAGCUGAUUUUGAGCAAAGAGAGGAGUGGUUCUAUCCCAAAUGUGUCCCCUAGUGUAGUGUACCCAAUCCUGGAUGUGUGGCUCUCUCAGGUCUCAGUCCCGGUGUUAGCACCUUACCUUAUGAGAGUGUCUGCGGCUCGGAGAGAAUGACCCAACCAGUGCUGCUGCUGAACCAGCUACGGUCCUUAUCGCCGCCAGACUUGAGGGAUAUUGUGUAUUUUGCACAAAUAUGCGUUCAUCUGCGAUGACACGUUGUGGCGCCCCCUAACGGGACAAGCCGAAAGGAAAAGAAGAAGAGGUGGGACAGAUAGAGAUGGCAAAAACUAUGAACAGUAUUUGUUUGGCAGCAUCUGGUGGCAUCUUUGUGACAGUGCGUUGUUGAAUUCCCUCGACUCACCUGAAAUCUGCAUAAGGUAGACUCUGGCAGCAUUGGCAGCCCCACCGCAUAAGAACACGCCAGUCAGCACGAGGCACAGGGACGUGAGCGAGGACGCCAUGGCCUCCGCAUCUGAUCCAGUCGUG
This is a long non-coding RNA of Syngnathoides biaculeatus (alligator pipefish), 638 nucleotides long. RefSeq lists it as uncharacterized. The record is from RefSeq and is a predicted model, not a curated record. The transcript has 5 exons. Lineage: Eukaryota; Metazoa; Chordata; Actinopteri; Syngnathiformes; Syngnathidae.